UGGGGAAUAUUGCACAAUGGGCGAAAGCCUGAUGCAGCAACGCCGCGUGAGUGAUGAAGGCCUUCGGGUUGUAAAGCUCUGUCUUUUGGGACGAUAAUGACGGUACCAAAGGAGGAAGCCACGGCUAACUACGUGCCAGCAGCCGCGGUAAUACGUAGGUGGCAAGCGUUGUCCGGAUUUACUGGGCGUAAAGGAUGCGUAGGCGGAUUUUUAAGUGAGAUGUGAAAUACCCGGGCUUAACUUGGGUGCUGCAUUUCAAACUGGGAAUCUAGAGUGCGGGAGAGGAGAAUGGGAUUCCUAGUGUAGCGGUGAAAUGCGUAGAGAUUAGGAAGAACACCAGUGGCGAAGGCGAUUCUCUGGACCGUAACUGACGCUGAGGCAUGAAAGCGUGGGUAGCAAACAGGAUUAGAUACCCUGGUAGUCCACGCCGUAAACGAUGAGUACUAGGUGUAGGAGGUAUCGACCCCUUCUGUGCCGCAGUUAACACAAUAAGUACUCCGCCUGGGAAGUACGAUCGCAAGAUUAGAACUCAAAGGAAUUGACGGGGUCAUAGCUGUUUCC
Molecule: ribosomal RNA, 561 nt
Filed under: uncultured bacterium
Lineage: Bacteria
Description: partial 16S ribosomal RNA
Rfam family: Bacterial small subunit ribosomal RNA
Source: RNAcentral